AACGAACGCUGGCGGCAUGCCUAACACAUGCAAGUCGAACGAGACCUUCGGGUCUAGUGGCGCACGGGUGCGUUACGCGUGGGAACCUGCCCUUAGGUUCGGAAUAACUCCCCGAAAGGGGUGCUAAUACCGGAUAAUGUCUUCGGACCAAAGAUUUAUCGCCUUUGGAUUGGUCCGCGUUGGAUUAGCUAGUUGGUAGGGUAAAAGCCUACCAAGGCUACGAUCCAUAGCUGGUCUGAGAGGAUGAUCAGCAACCCUGGGACUGAGGCCCGGCCCAGACUCUUACGGGAGGCAGCAGUGGGGAAUAUUGGACAAUGGGCGAAAGAAUGAUCCAGCAAUGCCGCGUGAGUGAUGAAGGACUUAGGGUUGUAUAGCUCUUUUACACGGGAUGAUAAUGACAGUACCGGGAGAAUAAGCGCCGGCUAACUACGUG
RNAcentral lists this ribosomal RNA (433 nucleotides) under uncultured bacterium. RNAcentral describes it as "partial 16S ribosomal RNA". It matches the Rfam family "Bacterial small subunit ribosomal RNA", at positions 29 to 507 of the family's 1533-position model. The record is from RNAcentral.